CCUAAGGGCCCCAGGGACCGUCCCUUGGAAGGCAGCCAGCGUGUUAGUGGAGGGUGAAGGGACAGUGCCCUCAUGUUUUGUCUUCUUGCCAGGUGCCCUAAGUGACCUUGCUUUGCCAGUAAACUGGCCUUGAGGCCUUCACCAGGCCAGAAGCCAGGCCAGCCCCAUCCCGCUGGCUGUCUAACAGUAGUGCUGCUAUGAACGUCUACCAUGGACUGCACUGCAAGAUUUACAUGCAUUUAUCUCUGUAAAUGUAUAUGUUGUCGACUCCAGGCGACAAUGAAAUAUUGUCACUGAGAUUAAGCAGUUUGUAGUGGUCCCACGGUUUAUAAGGUAAGAGUCGGGGAUUAGAGGCAACAAGGUGGAGAAUGCCAUUAAUCCCAGGGCCUCUGGAGGUUGAAGCAGGUGGAUCACAAAUCGCCCAGCCUGAGAAAUCUAGUGAGACUGUAUCUCAAAAUACAAAACAAAAAGGACUGGGGAUGUAGCUUAGUGGUAGAGCAUCCCUGGGUUCAAUCCCCACUACAAAAAAAAAAAAAAAAUGUUGGAAUUAGAACCCAAAACACAGAAGUUUAUACUUCAUGACUACUCAGCCCAGUCAGUCAAGCUGUAUGUAUUUGUUCAGAGUGACUUCUAUGAACCAACUGCCCAGGAGAAUAUAAAAGAUGGACAACAGGGAAAUCUUUCCUAUGCUGCUUUAUAGUCCAAUAAGCUGUAUCAAACGUUUUCUCAACAAUUUAAAAAUAUCCUCAAUUGUGUUAAUUAGGAAAACACUAAGCUGUCUUUGACAUGAUUUGGGUCUUUACUGAAUAGAAUAAUAUCAAAAGAAGCAAAGCUAGGAGUGAUGACGCUGGCUAUAGUCCCAGCUACACAGUAGCUGAGAUGGGAGGAUCACUUGACUCCACAAGUUUGGAGACCAGCCUAGGCAACACAGCCAGACCCCUCUCAAAAAAAAAAGGUGAGUGUGGAGCAGAGUUUCUGUUGUUUUCUUCCACACCCUUUGCAGCCUAAGGAUGACUAGGUUUCCCGUCAGGCAAAGAGGAACUUCCAGGAAGGGCUGAGGUUGUUUACAGAUGGCAGGAAAAUGAAACUCAGGGCAUAUGUUGGGGUGAAGGAGGAAAUUCAGGUUGGGCCCUCAUUAUGGAUUUUCUCUAAAACCCAGAAGAGCAUGGAUUUUAUAAGAUUGGUAAAGGGAAGCUGAGACAUCUGUUAGCUGAGGUAAGACAUCGAAAGUAGUUUUUCAGGCAAGGCAGUCUGGCAUUGAUAUGAGGGCCAGGCUAGUUAGAAAGCUGUUGUGUUAAUCCCAGAAAGAAGUACUAGGAUCCAUUUUUAGAGUACUAGCUAUGGGAACUUUGGGGAGAAACAACAUUUUGAAGGGUGAAACAACAGAAUUCAGUGAUGGGUUGGGCACUGUAAUGAAGGGGCUUGAUCUAGUCAGAACAGAAUGUCACACAAGGAGAGAGUGGUCAGGCUAUAUUUGUGCACUUCUUGUCUGUAGAGAUAUGCUACUUUGAGACUAACUGACUCCUAGGAUAUGUCCUUUUGAACAAGCAACAAAUGUUGGGGACAGGGGGAGUGACAACAGCAAAAAGAAGUAUAUCUAACAUAAUUAACUGCCUCAGCUCCAUCCUUUCAGAAGACCACGCCAACCUCUGGAACACCAAGCACUGAGACCAAGGUGGUUGGGGGUGGGAGAUAAAGAGAAGUUGAUUGUCAUCUUUGUAUACCACACCUAAUAAAAAGGCUUCUUUUUCUUUUUUAGAUGGCCACUGAAAGGAGUACCCCCACA
Molecule: long non-coding RNA, 1786 nt
Filed under: Marmota monax (woodchuck)
Lineage: Eukaryota; Metazoa; Chordata; Mammalia; Rodentia; Sciuridae
Source: RNAcentral